AUUGAACGCUGGCGGCAGGCCUAACACAUGCAAGUCGAGCGGAUGAAGGGAGCUUGCUCCUGGAUUCAGCGGCGGACGGGUGAGUAAUGCCUAGGAAUCUGCCUGGUAGUGGGGGAUAACGUCCGGAAACGGGCGCUAAUACCGCAUACGUCCUGAGGGAGAAAGUGGGGGAUCUUCGGACCUCACGCUAUCAGAUGAGCCUAGGUCGGAUUAGCUAGUUGGUGGGGUAAAGGCCUACCAAGGCGACGAUCCGUAACUGGUCUGAGAGGAUGAUCAGUCAGACUGAGAAUGAGACAGGGGCCCGACGCCCUGGGGGGGGCGCAAGGGGGAAAUUUGGACCAUUGGCGGAAACCUUGACCCAACCGGGCGGGGGGUGAAAAAAAGUUUUGGGGUGUUAAAAGCCUUUUAAGUUGGGGGAAAGGGCAUUAAUUUAAAACCUUGCUUUUUUGACGUUACCAACAAAAAAAGCACGGGCUAACUUCGUG
Molecule: ribosomal RNA, 485 nt
Filed under: uncultured bacterium
Lineage: Bacteria
Description: partial 16S ribosomal RNA
Rfam family: Bacterial small subunit ribosomal RNA
Source: RNAcentral